Molecule: long non-coding RNA, 118 nt
Organism: Thalassophryne amazonica
Lineage: Eukaryota; Metazoa; Chordata; Actinopteri; Batrachoidiformes; Batrachoididae
Exons: 3
Source: RefSeq, a predicted model, not a curated record
CCAGACAAAAGUUGCUGCUGGUGGUGGAAACACAAGCCAAGCCAGACCUAACCGUUCUGACCCAUACCAUACCGUGCCCUACCAACCCGGACCACUCGGUGAGAACGAGGAUAAAGAG